This 680-nucleotide long non-coding RNA is filed under the name Paramuricea clavata. Lineage: Eukaryota; Metazoa; Cnidaria; Anthozoa; Malacalcyonacea; Plexauridae. The record is from RNAcentral.
UCGAAUCGAGUUUAGUCUAUAAUAUUAGUCCCUGGAAGAGGGCUACCUAUCAUGCAACUUAUAGAGUUGCGUACAGUGGUGGGGUUGUAAACAGUAAGUACAACAUAUUGUUUUUACCAUAGUGGACAACGGGUAUUACAUUUUAUUUUUGUGGAGCUAGCCAAUCUUCGAAUCGAGUUUAGUCUAUAAUAUUAGUCCCUGGAAGAGGGCUACCUAUCAUGCAACUUAUAGAGUUGCGUACAGUGGUGGGGUUGUAAACAGUAAGUACAACAUAUUGUUUUUACCAUAGUGGACAACGGGUAUUACAUUUUAUUUUUGUGGAGCUAGCCAAUUUUCGAAUCGAGUUGAAAAGUUUUUAAGAUAGAAAUGUGGAGCGGAAGGUCAUAUACAAUUUUCAGAUCAAAUUUUCUGCCUCUUUCGUUCCUCAGCCUACGAAAAAUAACACUUCUUUGCGAAAUCACGUUUAACUAAAUGCGCAAUGAUUUUGUAAUUUAGUGUACCAUAUGAAAGAGACGGGCUGGAUCAAGGUAUCACAGAAUGAUGUUGGUGAACUGCAUUACAAAUAUCAAGACGAGAAAAAGAGAUAAAAACUCUGUAAGAAUAGUUUGUACUGUAGUUUGUACUGUUGCUAGGGGUUUGUGUCAAAAUUUAGUCAUUAAAGUUUAAAAAUUUGUGAGAAU